CCUACGGGGGACAGCAGUGGGGAAUAUUGCACAAUGGGGGAAACCCUGAUGCAGCGACGCCGCGUGAGUGAAGAAGUAUUUCGGUACGUAAAGCUCUAUCAGCAGGGAAGAAAAUGACGGUAUCUGACUAAGAAGCCCCGGCUAACUACGUGCCAGCAGCCGCGGUAAUACGUAGGGGGCACGCGUUAUCCGGAUUUACUGGGUGUAAAGGGAGCGUAGACGGCAGCGCAAGUCUGGAGUGAAAUCCCAUGGCUUAACCAUGGAACUGCUAUGGAAACUGUGCAGCUAGAGUGCAGGAGAGGUAAGCAGAAUUCCUGGUGUAGCGGUGAAAUGCGUAGAUAUUAGGAGGAACACCAGUGGCGAAGGCGGCUUACUGGACGGUAACUGACGUUGAGGCGCGAAAGCAUGGGGAGCAAACAGGAUUAGAUACCCUGGUAGUC
This 440-nucleotide ribosomal RNA is filed under the name uncultured bacterium. Its description in RNAcentral is "partial 16S ribosomal RNA". It matches the Rfam family "Bacterial small subunit ribosomal RNA", at positions 338 to 795 of the family's 1533-position model. The record is from RNAcentral.